AAUAAUGAUAUGUAUGUAUUAGUGUAGAACAGCUAAUAGCCUAAUAUGUAGAAAUGUUGAUAACUACUGGAUUAGUGACGCCAUAUCGUGUGGCGCAAUUUAGCGGGCAGCGCGCGUGUCGGUUACUCGGUUACUUAAUCCUCAUUCAUUGCGUGAGGAUCAUUCACACGUACCUCAAGCUCAAGCUCAAGCUCAAGCUCAAGCUCAGAUACAUACUUUCCUCCCGUCGACGACGAGUUUCAGUGCCAAACUUGUCCUCGCCUCUCUCGUCCUGCUUCCAGCGAACCUAAAUCAAUCAAGAAAUUAAAAAGAUUGGCGAACAAUAAAUAAAAAUUAUCGGGAUCACUUAAAAACAUUCGGAAACAUAUACAUCGACUGAUAAUUUGAUAUACGUACGAUGGGGUAUGUGAUUGUAAUAUCCUUACCGGUGAUCCUUUUCUUCCUGAUUACGGCCAUUGCUUGUUACCUAGUCGGUAGGAAUCGUGGUCGGAAAGAACGUUCCGGACUUCCUCAAUAUUACGGGCCUCCGCCUCCCGCUCCGCCUCCAUCCUUACCUCUUUCCACCAAAUAAAUUUCGGUACAAGUUUUUUUUUUUUUUUAACAUGUAUUAUAUAUACAAGGGCUACAAUUACUAUGUUGAAUUUUUGUAAUUGAAUAAAGUGCUGACAAUACAUCAUAUUAUGAUAAACAAUACUCCCUAUGUCCUAUAACAAAGUAUCAAUUUUUCCAUUUUA
Andrographis paniculata is the source of this 734-nucleotide long non-coding RNA. RefSeq lists it as uncharacterized. The transcript is spliced from 2 exons. Lineage: Eukaryota; Viridiplantae; Streptophyta; Magnoliopsida; Lamiales; Acanthaceae. The record is from RefSeq and is a predicted model, not a curated record.